GUGCUCACUUAAGCAACACAUAUACUAAAAUUGGAACAACAGAGAGGUUAGGGAGGCCCCUGCACAAGGAUGACACACAAAUUCGUGAAGUGUUCCACAUUUUU
This is a small nuclear RNA of Gorilla gorilla gorilla (western lowland gorilla), 104 nucleotides long. The record is from Ensembl. Lineage: Eukaryota; Metazoa; Chordata; Mammalia; Primates; Hominidae.